Molecule: long non-coding RNA, 568 nt
Organism: Anguilla anguilla (European eel)
Lineage: Eukaryota; Metazoa; Chordata; Actinopteri; Anguilliformes; Anguillidae
Exons: 2
Source: RefSeq, a predicted model, not a curated record
GGCAUGGUGGUACAUGUGUGUGUGCUAUGUUCUGUGUUGGAGGCCAGGAGAGCCACACUCAGGAAAGACGUCAGGAAUAACAGGGAGAAGCUGGAUGUGCUACUCAAUUUACUGUGACCUUGCUCAUUAUAGCUCUUUCCCACUGUAGAGCUGAACCAGGCUGGCUCAUUAUAGCCCUUUCCCACUGUAGAGCUGAACCAGGCUGGCUCAUUAUAGCCCUUUCCCACUGUAGAGCUGAACCAGGCUGGCUCAUUAUAGCCCUUUCCCACUGUAGAGCUGAACCAGGUUGUUUCACCUAUAGCCCUUUUUUCAGCUCUCCCUGGACAGUGAAUGUUGUUACAGCAUGGUAUUAGAAAGACUACCUCUAGCUCAAACAAAGAAAUGACUGAACCGUUAUUUUUCGGAAGACAACUCAUCCCAAGAGGGGAAUUCCUGAAGAUCCACAUUCUCAAAAUCACACUCCUCCAAAGCCACUCCUUCUUGAUUCUUCAUUUUGGAUGUUUUUAAAAAAAAAAAACAUUUAGUAUUAAAUAAAUAUUAAAUUAAAAAUCUUGUUGCCGUGGAGCUG